Long non-coding RNA from Eupeodes corollae, 998 nucleotides. RefSeq lists it as uncharacterized. The record is from RefSeq and is a predicted model, not a curated record. Lineage: Eukaryota; Metazoa; Arthropoda; Insecta; Diptera; Syrphidae. The transcript is spliced from 3 exons.
UAUUUAAUUCGUAAAUUGUUGUUUGUUAAUCUUGUCACCAGACAAGUAUUCGAUUAAUCUGGAUGCUAAUAAUGUCUCAAGCUUGUUAUUGGGAUUAAUCAACAAACAAGAAUAAGAAGACCGAGUGAGAUGGUUUUCUGUGUGUGAUGUGAUUUAUUAGAUAUUUUUAGGAAUUACCUACCUAAUUUUUAUUUGUUAAUAAGCAAAUAAUUUUAUUAUUAUUAUUUUGAAGGUUCCAUUAGAUUGUGGGGGUUUUAUGGAUAUCAGUUGAUUUGUUUGCGGGUUUCGGAUAAGAUUAUCGCAAUUUUUGCAAAAAGUGAAACUUUCGGAUUCUUUUUGGUUGAAAGUGUUUUUUAGUUUAAUUCAGUUCUAGUAACCUUAGUUUCUAAUGAAGAAACUUUAAAAUUUCGAAAAUUAAGAUAAAAGUGCAUCGGAGUUUUGAAACUUAUAUUAAAAAGAAGAUCACGAGGAAGCGUCAAAGUUGAAGUUUAUUAGGAAAUUUUGUUGUCAGUGAUUUCACUAUGUCAAACCUUGUUUUUGGGUUAAAAAUAAACAUUAAAAAAUUCAAAAAUUGUUUGCCUUUUUAAUAUUAAAGAUCAGCUGAUAAAAAUUUCUCAGCUACAGAAAAAAAUCUGAAAAUACAUUUGAUUUCACCCGGGUAAUACACGGGUAUCCUGAGUUUCUGGUUUUAUACGGGUUUUACACUGAUACCCGAUACGUAGUCGGGUACUCGGGUAUUUCAAAAACCAUCAGGUUACCGAAAACAAGACGGGUGCCUAAAUUUGAAUAAGGAUCGUAUCAAUGAAUCAUUAACAUGCAUAUAACACAGGAAAAUUACAUAAUAUUGCCGACAAAAUAAUUUCAUGGUUUUCAAAUUCAAAGCAACAGACUUACUACCCUCACCCCCACCACCAUCAUCAACAUCAUCAGCAUCAACACCAACAUCAGCAUCGCCACUACCAAUCGUCAACACUUGACCGGGCACUUGUGGUUUCCGG